This 93-nucleotide transfer RNA is filed under the name Salmo salar (Atlantic salmon). It matches the Rfam family "tRNA". Rfam says of the family: Transfer RNA (tRNA) molecules are approximately 80 nucleotides in length. Lineage: Eukaryota; Metazoa; Chordata; Actinopteri; Salmoniformes; Salmonidae. The record is from Rfam by way of RNAcentral.
GUCCCUGUGGCUCAGUUGGUAGAGCAUGGUGUUUGUAAUGCCAGCAUGGUGUGUGCAAUGCCAGGGUUGUGGGUUCGAUUCCCACGGGGGGCC